UGAAACACGGACCAAGGAGUUUAAGGUGUACGCAAGUCAUUGGUUGUUGAAAGCCAUAGGCGUAAUGAAAGUGGGACACUCGGUGUCUGUGAUGUGAGCCGUCUUCGUUUCGACGGAUUCGGCGCAACAUCGACCCAUGACUAGGACUUGUUCUGUUGUGGAGUCUGAGCGUACGCUUUGAGACCCGAAAGAUGGUGAACUAUGCCUGAACAGGACGAAGUCAGAGGAAACUCUGAUGGAAGUCCGAAGCGGUUCUGACGUGCAAAUCGAUCGUCUGAUUUGGGUAUAGGGGCGCAAGACUAAUCGAACCAUCUAGUAGCUGGUUCCUUCCGAAGUUUCCCUCAGGAUAGCUGGAGCAUUUGCAGAGCAGAUAUACUCGGUAAAGCGAACGAUUAGAGUCAUUGGGAUGUAUUAUUCUCAAACUAUUCUCAUACUCUAAAUGGUUAUGUUGUCGGUGUUACUUAACUGAACACGCGGCUUUGAUUGCUAUGCUCCAAGUGGGCCAUUUUUGGUAAGCA
Molecule: ribosomal RNA, 518 nt
Filed under: Aphelenchoides parietinus
Lineage: Eukaryota; Metazoa; Nematoda; Chromadorea; Rhabditida; Aphelenchoididae
Description: eukaryotic LSU rRNA
Rfam family: Eukaryotic large subunit ribosomal RNA
Source: RNAcentral